GUGAAUCAUCGAAUCUUUGAACGCAAAUUGCACUUUCUGGUAUUCCGGAAAGUAUGCCUGUUUGAGGGUCAGUUAAGUCAAAAUCGUUGUUGUUGCUUCUUUUCGUGGUGACGCGGCGGAAUUUAGUUUUCUUACCUUCGGUUAAGUGACUUAAAAUUUUACAUGAUUUUCGAUCGUAUUUAAAUUGCUUACGUACUUUUUAUAUAUCGUGUUCUUUAUUAGGGUCGAUCAUCCUCAUAAAUCGCACCUAUAAUUUUUGAUUAAAUGAC
This 269-nucleotide unclassified non-coding RNA is filed under the name Glomeraceae sp. RNAcentral describes it as "partial contains 5.8S ribosomal RNA and internal transcribed spacer 2". The stretch from base 1 to 71 matches the Rfam family "5.8S ribosomal RNA", at positions 84 to 154 of the family's 154-position model. Lineage: Eukaryota; Fungi; Glomeromycota; Glomeromycetes; Glomerales; Glomeraceae. The record is from RNAcentral.